Molecule: long non-coding RNA, 659 nt
Filed under: Vigna radiata
Lineage: Eukaryota; Viridiplantae; Streptophyta; Magnoliopsida; Fabales; Fabaceae
Description: long non-coding RNA (VRAD_LNC004201)
Source: RNAcentral
ACGAUCAAUUGCUUUUAACUUUCGUUCUAUAAUGCUGUAUUAAUUGCUAGGGGAGGCUAGGGAUAACAAGCUAGUAAUUAGUAUUAGGCUCUUUUCACCUAGGGAUCGGGUUAAGGGUAGGCUAAGAAAGUUGCAUGACAAUUAAUUAAUCAAACUAAUAAUUCAAGAGGAGUAAAUAAGAAAGUGUGGAUAAGAUGAAAUUGUAAACCCCCAACAACUCCAUUCAUCCAUUGUUUUCUUUUGUCAAUUGAAUCAUUCUCUUUAUUGCAUGUUCAUAUUUUUAUUCUCCUACACAAUUAUUUAAUUUUUAUUUUCAAGUCUUAUUAUUUUAAUUCACGUGAACGAGAAAGUCUUUCUAGUCUCUUGGGAAGAACGGUAUUGGGUUUUACCAAUUAUAUUACUUGAAUGAUUUGGUACGCUUGCUAAUCUGUCAACAACACCACAGUCACUUGAUUGAAAUUCUCUCUAAACUGUCCAUUGUGACCAUCUUUUCUCUCUUCUUCUUAUUCUUCACCCUCACUACUUUCCAGCUCAAUAAUCUCCUUUUCUUCUUCCUCUUCACUACUCUCAAUUUCAACAACUUCCUUUUCUGCUUUCCUUUUACUCCUAGUUACAACAGCUUUGCACUCCUCUUUAGAGUUAACAUCAGUAUUAGCCCU